GACGAACGCUGGCGGCGUGCUUAACACAUGCAAGUCGAACGGAAAGGCCCUGCUUUUGUGGGGUGCUCGAGUGGCGAACGGGUGAGUAACAAGUGAGUAACCUGCCCUUGACUUUGGGAUAACUUCAGGAAACUGGGGCUAAUACCUGAUAGGAGCUCCUGCUGCAUGGUGGGGGUUGGAAAGUUUCGGCGGUUGGGGAUGGACUCGGGGCUUAUCAGCUUGUUGGUGGGGUAGUGGCUUACCAAGGCUUUGACGGGUAGCCGGCCUGAGAGGGUGACCGGCCUCAUUGGGACUGAGAUACGGACCAGACGCCUACGGGAGGCAGCAGUGGGGAAUAUUGCACAAUGGGCGGAAGCGUGAUGCAGCAACGCCGCGAGCGGGAUGACUGCCUUCGGGUUGUAAACCGCAUUCGCCUGUGACGAAGCGUGAGUGACGGUAAUGGGUGAAGAAGCACCGGCUAACUACGUG
This 468-nucleotide ribosomal RNA is filed under the name uncultured bacterium. Its description in RNAcentral is "partial 16S ribosomal RNA". It matches the Rfam family "Bacterial small subunit ribosomal RNA", at positions 28 to 507 of the family's 1533-position model. The record is from RNAcentral.